This 1375-nucleotide ribosomal RNA is filed under the name uncultured bacterium. RNAcentral's name for it is "16S ribosomal RNA". It matches the Rfam family "Bacterial small subunit ribosomal RNA", at positions 8 to 1386 of the family's 1533-position model. The record is from RNAcentral.
AGAGUUUGAUCCUGGCUCAGGACGAACGCUUGCGGCGUGCUUAACACAUGCAAGUCGAACGAAGCUUGAUUACGGAUUCUUCGGAUGAAGUAUGAUAUGACUGAGUGGCGGACGGGUGAGUAACGCGUGAGUAACCUGCCCUUCAGAGGGGGAUAGCGUUUGGAAACGAACGGUAAUACCGCAUAAUGUAUUUUGACCGCAUGAUCGAAAUACCAAAGAUUUAUCGCUGAAGGAUGGACUCGCGUCUGAUUAGGUAGUUGGUGGGGUAACGGCCUACCAAGCCGACGAUCAGUAGCCGGACUGAGAGGUUGAUCGGCCACAUUGGGACUGAGACACGGCCCAGACUCCUACGGGAGGCAGCAGUGGGGAAUAUUGCACAAUGGGCGCAAGCCUGAUGCAGCAACGCCGCGUGAAGGAAGACGGUUUUCGGAUUGUAAACUUCUGUUCUUAGUGAAGAAUAAUGACGGUAGCUAAGGAGCAAGCCACGGCUAACUACGUGCCAGCAGCCGCGGUAAUACGUAGGUGGCAAGCGUUGUCCGGAAUUACUGGGUGUAAAGGGAGCGCAGGCGGGUGAUCAAGUCAGCUGUGAAAACUACGGGCUUAACCCGUAGACUGCAGUUGAAACUGUUCAUCUUGAGUGAAGUAGAGGUUGGCGGAAUUCCGAGUGUAGCGGUGAAAUGCGUAGAUAUUCGGAGGAACACCGGUGGCGAAGGCGGCCAACUGGGCUUUAACUGACGCUGAGGCUCGAAAGUGUGGGGAGCAAACAGGAUUAGAUACCCUGGUAGUCCACACUGUAAACGAUGAUAAAGGGGUGUGGGGGGUCUGACCCCUUCCGUGCCGGAGCUAACGCAAUAAGCAAAUCCACCUGGGGAGUACGACCGCAAGGUUGAAACUCAAAGGAAUGGACGGGGACCCGCACAAGCAGUGGAUUAUGUGGUUUAAUUCGAAGCAACGCGAAGAACCUUACCAGCACUUGACAUCCAACUAACGAAAUAGAGAUAUAUUAGGUGCCCUUCGGGGAAAGUUGAGACAGGUGGUGCAUGGUUGUCGUCAGCUCGUGUCGUGAGAUGUUGGGUUAAGUCCCGCAACGAGCGCAACCCUCGCCAUUAGUUGCUACGCAAGAGCACUCUAAUGGGACCGCUACCGACAAGGUGGAGGAAGGUGGGGACGACGUCAAAUCAUCAUGCCCCUUAUGUGCUGGGCUACACACGUAAUACAAUGGCCAUCAACAGAGAGAAGCAAUACCGCGAGGUGGAGCAAAACUUCAAAAAUGGUCUCAGUUCGGACUGCAGGCUGCAACCCGCCUGCACGAAGUUGGAAUUGCUAGUAAUCGUGGAUCAGCAUGCCACGGUGAAUACGUUCCCGGGUCUUGCAC